UGGUGAGUGACGCGGGGGAAACCUGCCCACGGGCGGGGGAUAACACGUGGAAACGGAUGCUAAUACCGCAUAACAAGUUGGACCGCAUGGUCCGAGUUUGGAAGAUGGCUUCGGCUAUCACUUGUGGAUGGCCCCGCGGCGUAUUAGCUAGAUGGUGGGGUAACGGCUCACCAUGGCAAUGAUACGUAGCCGACCUGAGAGGGUAAUCGGCCACAUUGGGACUGAGACACCGCCCAAACUCCUACGGGAGGCAGCAGUAGGGAAUCUUCCACAAUGGACGAAAGUCUGAUGGAGCAACGCCGCGUGAGUGAAGAAGGGUUUCGGCUCAUAAAACUCUGUUGUUAAAGAAGAACAUAUCUGAGAGUAACUGUUCAGGUAUUGACGGUAUUUAACCAGAAAGCCACGGCUAACUACGUGCCAGCAGCCGCGGUAAUACGUAGGUGGCAAGCGUUGUCCGGAUUUAUUGGGCGUAAAGCGAGCGCAGGCGGUUUUUUAAGUCUGAUGUGAAAGCCUUCGGCUCAACCGAAGAAGUGCAUCGGAAACUGGGAAACUUGAGUGCAGAAGAGGACAGUGGAACUCCAUGUGUAGCGGUGAAAUGCGUAGAUAUAUGGAAGAACACCAGUGGCGAAGGCGGCUGUCUGGUCUGUAACUGACGCUGAGGCUCGAAAGUAUGGGUAGCAAACAGGAAUAAAUCCCCCUGGUAGACCAUACCGAAAACGAAGAAUGCUAAGUGGUGGAGGGUUUCCCCCCUUCAGUGCUGCAGCUAACACAUUAAGCUUCCCCCGUGGGGAGUACGGCCG
RNAcentral lists this ribosomal RNA (800 nucleotides) under Lactiplantibacillus plantarum. RNAcentral describes it as "bacterial SSU rRNA". It matches the Rfam family "Bacterial small subunit ribosomal RNA", at positions 104 to 888 of the family's 1533-position model. The record is from RNAcentral. Lineage: Bacteria; Bacillati; Bacillota; Bacilli; Lactobacillales; Lactobacillaceae.